UCACCAUAAUAGGGAGGAAGCUUAUGUUCGACUUUAUGUGGAUACGAUUCAGUGCAUCAACUACUUUCCUAAACAAACACAAAAUAUACCAGAACUGUCUCAGGAAAUGAAGGCAGUUUGUUUCCAAGAGCUGCAGCUGUUUGUAAAGAGGUAUGUUGAUGAGCAGACUGAGACUCUUGGGAAAUGGGCAAAAAUGGACAAACCAGAAAUGGUACACUUCUUCAAAGUGUUGAAAACUUGUAGAGA
Long non-coding RNA from Monopterus albus (swamp eel), 246 nucleotides. RefSeq lists it as uncharacterized. Lineage: Eukaryota; Metazoa; Chordata; Actinopteri; Synbranchiformes; Synbranchidae. The transcript is spliced from 3 exons. The record is from RefSeq and is a predicted model, not a curated record.